Podarcis lilfordi (Lilford's wall lizard) is the source of this 76-nucleotide non-coding RNA. Lineage: Eukaryota; Metazoa; Chordata; Lepidosauria; Squamata; Lacertidae. The record is from the annotation of a GenBank genome assembly.
GGAAGAACUGUAGCUCAGUAGUAUAGCAUCUGCUUUGGAUGCAGAAGGUCCCAGGUUCAUUCUCUUGACAUCUCCA